CACUACUACUUCUACACAACAGGUGGAGAGAGAGAAAAGGGGAAGAGGAGUGGCGUUUCGUUUGGGAGGAGAGGGGCGGCUGAUCAGUUAUCAUUCAUCUAGAGUAGAGGCUAGGCUAGGCUAGGUCGGCCGCUAGGGCGCGCCGCGCCGCCUCCCGCCCUAGCUAGAGUCGGUACCUGAGAAGAAGGAGCAGCUGCCGCAGCAGAAGGGUCCGCGUCCGCGUCGGCCUGAAGCUGAUGGACAAGUUCGAGGAGGAGUAGCCGCUGAGGCCGCACCCCUUCUCGUCGGACGAGGAGGCUAAGUGUAGCCUGAGGAAGCUCCUGGAUAGGGGCUGGUAGCCGCAGCUGAAGUUCCACUUCUACCAGUUGUAACGGCCGUUCUUCGAGUUCGAGCGGCAGACCCUGUGGCGACCUGUCCUUGCUAAAUCCUGGAACUGGUCGAGAAUGAUGUCUCCCCGUGUUCCCUAGUAGUACCACAUGCUACAAUGAGCGGCUCUUUGUAAGUGCUUAGAGAGACUGUAUACCCGGUUCCUUUAACUGGACAUAAGCUGUUUGGUCCUGACAUAUUUCUACGAACAGCCUUUGUUUCACCUGUUCCUUUCACUCUCCCGACAGUGGUUCUUCCUUCCGUAACUGAAACGGUCCCUCAUACCCACAAAUAAAGACCUUACGUCACGCUUUUGGUUUCACUUGCACCUCGUCACGAAACUCCUCGAGCACGACUUCUAUAACCUGUGAGGCUCGGACGACCGCCUACGCAGCAGCCCCCGCUUCUCCUUGUAGAAGUUCGUCUUCCGCGGUCUCCGACUACGACGCCGCUCGCCGACGACAACUAAAGUAAGUGCGUGCGAUUAGGGCCCGUAGAUAGAUACUAGAUAGAAAUAGAAACACCUCCUACCUACUUUUGCAAACAACAAACUGCUUCACUGUAGAUUCGUCGAGCAAACACAGCAAAAGAAAACGAACACAACGACAUAUACUAUACUUAGUCACCCAGUCAACUACGAGGAGUACAACUUAGUAGUGUUUUGUUUUGUCUCAUGGAACCGUCGAUAUAUUAUCUCUGUCCGUAUGUAGUC
This 1078-nucleotide ribosomal RNA is filed under the name Triticum aestivum (bread wheat). Its description in RNAcentral is "partial small subunit ribosomal RNA". Lineage: Eukaryota; Viridiplantae; Streptophyta; Magnoliopsida; Poales; Poaceae. The record is from RNAcentral.